CAGCAGCCGCGGUAAUACGAAGGGGGCUAGCGUUGUUCGGAUUUACUGGGCGUAAAGGGCGCGUAGGCGGGCGAAUAAGUCAGGGGUGAAAUCCCAAGGCUCAACCUUGGAACUGCCUUUGAUACUGUUUGUCUUGAGUUCGAGAGAGGUAAGUGGAACUGCGAGUGUAGAGGUGAAAUUCGUAGAUAUUCGCAAGAACACCAGUGGCGAAGGCGGCUUACUGGCUCGAAACUGACGCUGAGGCGCGAAAGCGUGGGGAGCAAACAGGAUUAGAUACCCCUGUAGUCCCUGUCUCUUAUAC
This 301-nucleotide ribosomal RNA is filed under the name uncultured bacterium. Its description in RNAcentral is "partial 16S ribosomal RNA". It matches the Rfam family "Bacterial small subunit ribosomal RNA", at positions 509 to 807 of the family's 1533-position model. The record is from RNAcentral.